GACGAACGCUGGCGGCGUGCCUAAUACAUGCAAGUAGAACGCUGAAGGAGGAGCUUGCUUCUCUGGAUGAGUUGCGAACGGGUGAGUAACGCGUAGGUAACCUGCCUGGUAGCGGGGGAUAACUAUUGGAAACGAUAGCUAAUACCGCAUAAUAGCAGUUGUUGCAUGACAACUGUUUGAAAGGUGCAAUUGCACCACUACCAGAUGGACCUGCGUUGUAUUAGCUAGUUGGUGGGGUAACGGCUCACCAAGGCGACGAUACAUAGCCGACCUGAGAGGGUGAUCGGCCACACUGGGACUGAGACACGGCCCAGACUCCUACGGGAGGCAGCAGUAGGGAAUCUUCGGCAAUGGACGGAAGUCUGACCGAGCAACGCCGCGUGAGUGAAGAAGGUUUUCGGAUCGUAAAGCUCUGUUGUAAGAGAAGAACGAGUGUGAGAGUGGAAAGUUCACACCGUGACGGUAUCUUACCAGAAAGGGACGGCUAACUACGUG
This 495-nucleotide ribosomal RNA is filed under the name uncultured bacterium. RNAcentral describes it as "partial 16S ribosomal RNA". It matches the Rfam family "Bacterial small subunit ribosomal RNA", at positions 28 to 507 of the family's 1533-position model. The record is from RNAcentral.